RNAcentral lists this non-coding RNA (24 nucleotides) under Mus musculus (house mouse). Lineage: Eukaryota; Metazoa; Chordata; Mammalia; Rodentia; Muridae. The record is from RNAcentral.
UAUUGUUGAGACACUAGUUAAGAA